Molecule: long non-coding RNA, 227 nt
Filed under: Homo sapiens (human)
Lineage: Eukaryota; Metazoa; Chordata; Mammalia; Primates; Hominidae
Description: LHRI_LNC1036.1
Source: RNAcentral
GUGGAAGAAUGGUCUCAGAACUGUUUGUUUCAAUUGGCCAUUUAAGUUUAGUAGUGAAAGACUGGUUAAUGAUAACAAUGCAUCGUAAAACCUUCAGAAGGAAAGGAGAAUGUUUUGUGGACCACUUUGGUUUUCUUUUUUGCAUGUGGUAGUUUUAAGUUAUUAGUUUUUAAAAUCAGUACUUUUUAAUGGAAACAACUUGACCAAAAAUUUGUCACAGAAUUUUG